GCGGCAAUAGCUCAGUGGUAGAGCCCCGCUUCGCACGCGGGGAGAUCCCGGUUCGAUUCCCGGCUGUUUCC
This is a transfer RNA of Toxocara canis (dog roundworm), 71 nucleotides long. It matches the Rfam family "tRNA". From Rfam's summary of the family: Transfer RNA (tRNA) molecules are approximately 80 nucleotides in length. Their secondary structure includes four short double-helical elements and three loops (D, anti-codon, and T loops). The record is from Rfam. NCBI's taxonomy places the organism in Eukaryota, Metazoa, Nematoda, Chromadorea, Rhabditida, Toxocaridae.